GAUAUACUCCCACCGUCCGGAAAAUCUUGUUCUUCAAAUGAAUGUAUCUAUUACCAAAUUAGUGCUAGAUACAUCAAUUUAAAGGACAAGCUCGGGACAAGUUUUUUCGGACGGAGGAAGUAUUUA
Non-coding RNA from Triticum aestivum (bread wheat), 126 nucleotides. Lineage: Eukaryota; Viridiplantae; Streptophyta; Magnoliopsida; Poales; Poaceae. The record is from Rfam.